This 614-nucleotide long non-coding RNA is filed under the name Capsicum annuum. RNAcentral's name for it is "long non-coding RNA (CANN_LNC010400)". The record is from RNAcentral. Lineage: Eukaryota; Viridiplantae; Streptophyta; Magnoliopsida; Solanales; Solanaceae.
CCAAGAAAAGAUUUGUUGCUUUCAUACUUCUUCCAAAUGUAGAAUAACUACUGGUAUAACAUAGAAGAAAAGAAUUUUAUUUAUGAAGCCUUACAUAUUUGGCUACAAUUGACAUAUAAUAUUAAAACAACGUACAACAUACCCAAUAUAUCGUAAAGUGAGAUCUUAAGAUAAUAAAUUAUAGGCAAACUUGAUCUCUAUCUAUCUAAUCGAUAGGAAGGAUAUUUAUUAUAGAUCCCGGCUAAAAAAAACAUAUAUAAUAUUACAACAUUAAGUAAUAUUAAUGCUUUAUUUUUGCAAUACAACAAGUACAAGAACCACAUUGUUCCACACAAACUCUACAACUUGCAAUGACAUCAGGACUAACAUCACUUGUCUUAUGGGAUAAGAGGGUUCUGUGUGUAAUUGGAUUAUCAAAAACAAUAUCCCUUGAGCUACUAAUUGGGUUGAAGCAAAGUGAUGAUAAAACAAUGAAAAGAGCAAAAAUUGUUUUUGUGGUUCUUGCCAUUGUCACUAGAAGAGAGUGGAGACUAUGUUAUACAUGAAGUGAAAUACAAUUAAUUGGUCCUCCUUUAUAUAGAGGAAAUCAUGUGAAAAUAGAAGCAUUAAUUAAA